This 253-nucleotide ribosomal RNA is filed under the name uncultured bacterium. RNAcentral describes it as "partial 16S ribosomal RNA". It matches the Rfam family "Bacterial small subunit ribosomal RNA", at positions 524 to 776 of the family's 1533-position model. The record is from RNAcentral.
UACGUAGGGACCAAGCGUUGUUCGGAUUUACUGGGCUUAAAGGGCGCGUAGGCGGGCGAUCAAGUCAGGGGUGAAAGCCCCCAGCUCAACUGGGGAAGUGCCUCUGAUACUGGUAGUCUCGAGGGAGGUAGGGGCGUGCGGAACUUCCGGUGGAGCGGUGAAAUGCGUAGAUAUCGGAAGGAACGUCGGUGGCGAAAGCGGCGCGCUGGACCUCUUCUGACGCUGAGGCGCGAAAGCCAGGGGAGCAAACGGG